AAUGCCUACGGGACGCAGCAGUGAGGAAUAUUGGUCAAUGGGCGGGAGCCUGAACCAGCCAAGUCGCGUGAGGGAAGACGGUCCUAUGGAUUGUAAACCUCUUUAGGCGGGGAGCAAUGCCGGGCACGCGUGCCCGGAGGGAGAGUACCCGCAGAAUAAGCAUCGGCUAACUCCGUGCCAGCAGCCGCAGUAAUACGGAGGAUGCGAGCGUUAUCCGGAUGUAUUGGGUUUAAAGGGGGCGUAGGCGGAUUUUUAAGUCAGCGGUAAAAUGACCGGGCGCAACCCGGGCCUGCCGUUGAAACUGG
RNAcentral lists this ribosomal RNA (305 nucleotides) under uncultured bacterium. RNAcentral's name for it is "bacterial SSU rRNA". It matches the Rfam family "Bacterial small subunit ribosomal RNA", at positions 334 to 636 of the family's 1533-position model. The record is from RNAcentral.